AUACGAAGGGGGCAAGCGUUGUUCGGAAUAACUGGGCGUAAAGCGCACGUAGGCGGAAUGUUAAGUUAGAGGUGAAAUCCCAGGGCUCAACCCUGGAACUGCCUUUAAUACUGGCAAUCUAGAGACCGAGAGAGGUGAGUGGAAUUCCGAGUGUAGAGGUGAAAUUCGUAGAUAUUCAGAGGAACACCAGUGGCGAAGGCGGCUCACUGGCUCGGUACUGACGCUGAGGUGCGAAAGCGUGGGGAGCAAACAGGAUUAGAAACCCUAGUAGUCC
Molecule: ribosomal RNA, 274 nt
Filed under: uncultured bacterium
Lineage: Bacteria
Description: partial 16S ribosomal RNA
Rfam family: Bacterial small subunit ribosomal RNA
Source: RNAcentral